GGGAAACAAAAUGCUAAAACUACAUACGCCGUUAACGAAAGUACACCUGUAAUAAGCUUCAGUUGUAUUGUAGAGGAAAGCUUUUAUACUGACGUUUAACUGCACCUCUACAUCCUCUGAGUUCAAGUUCCCUGCUGCAACAUAAUAAGUUGAAGAUUUCAGUAUUUCCUGGUGGAUAAUACCACUUCCAUGAAUGACAUUCCAUGAUAAAGUUGUGUUUGGAUAUGUCGGGUCCUCGAGCCAUUCAGAAAGGCCUUCACUCCCUUGGGCAAUUACAAGAAAAAUCGAUGAGCUCGGGGAGUUCACAUGGUAUGAAAUAUUUAUUUGAGAUCCCUUAUUCAGGAAAUAUAUCCACUCCUUAUGGGAAUCUGCUGGAACAGAGACAUUAACAGAUUUGGUCCAGGACUUCACAACAUCAAGUGAUGGAGAUUUAUAAAAUCCAUAUAGAAUUAGCUCAGGAUUAUUACUAUCCACCUCUUCCACCUUUACAGACUGCACAAAAAAGGGACUCGUUUGAAUAAGAGCUGAGGUAUUGGGUCCUAUGAUUAUACUCACAGAACCAUAGACUCCCAAAAUCAGAGUCAUUGAUACGAAGAACCAAAAAGUGAAGACAA
RNAcentral lists this unclassified non-coding RNA (614 nucleotides) under Hevea brasiliensis (rubber tree). The record is from RNAcentral. Lineage: Eukaryota; Viridiplantae; Streptophyta; Magnoliopsida; Malpighiales; Euphorbiaceae.